GACGAACGCUGGCGGCGUGCUUAACACAUGCAAGUCGAACGGACAGGCCCUGCUUUUGUGGGGUGCUCGAGUGGCGAACGGGUGAGUAACACGUGAGUAACCUGCCCUUGACUUUGGGAUAACUUCAGGAAACUGGGGCUAAUACCGGAUAGGAGCUCCUGCUGCAUGGUGGGGGUUGGAAAGUUUCGGCGGUUGGGGCUGGACUCGCAGCUUAUCCGCUUGUUGGUGGGGUAGUGGCUUACCAAGGCUUUGACGGGUAGCCGGCCUGAGAGGGUGACCGGCGACAUGGGGACUGAGAGACGGCCCAGACGCCUACGGGAGGCAGCAGUGGGGAAUAUUGCACAAUGGGCGGAAGCCAGAUGCAGCAACGCCGCGUGCGGGAUGACGGCCUUCGGGUUGUAAACCGCUUUCGCCUGUGACGAAGCGUGAGUGACGGUAAUGGGUAAAGAAGCACCGGCUAACUACGUG
This 468-nucleotide ribosomal RNA is filed under the name uncultured bacterium. RNAcentral describes it as "partial 16S ribosomal RNA". It matches the Rfam family "Bacterial small subunit ribosomal RNA", at positions 28 to 507 of the family's 1533-position model. The record is from RNAcentral.